UACGGAGGGGGCUAGCGUUAUUCGGAAUUACUGGGCGUAAAGCGCACGUAGGCGGCUUGGUUAGUUGGAGGUGAAAUCCCAGGGCUCAACCUUGGACCUGCCUUCAAAACUUCCAGUCUUGAGUUCGAGAGAGGUAAGUGGAAUUCCGAGUGUAGAUGUGAAAUGCGUAGAUAUUCGGAGGAACACCAGUGGCGAAGGCGGCUUACUGGCUCGAUACUGACGCUGAGGUGCGAAAGCGUGGGGAGCAAACAGG
Molecule: ribosomal RNA, 253 nt
Filed under: uncultured bacterium
Lineage: Bacteria
Description: partial 16S ribosomal RNA
Rfam family: Bacterial small subunit ribosomal RNA
Source: RNAcentral